Aegilops tauschii subsp. strangulata is the source of this 1400-nucleotide long non-coding RNA. RefSeq lists it as uncharacterized. The record is from RefSeq and is a predicted model, not a curated record. NCBI's taxonomy places the organism in Eukaryota, Viridiplantae, Streptophyta, Magnoliopsida, Poales, Poaceae.
GUCUACGGAGGAGCAAAUAUCCUCGUGCGGUCAAUCCUGAAUUUAUAGUAGCAGCUGCUAUGCUAGUAAAUGUUCUAUAAUUGGCCGCACAAGACGUGCGGACAGCGACACAAACCAACCCCACUUGCAAGAACGACACUCUGGAUGGAUAUUCCAACCAGGCAUGUUUUUUUUUUCUUUCAGGGGUAGAUAUUCCAACCAGCUGGUCGGCUACUAUUGAGUGAAGUCUGAAACAAAUCUUGUCUUUGUACGACCCGUCGGAAUCGAACCCCCAACUCCUAAUACCUGAAAUCGACACCCUCACCUCUCAAAUCCCGGUCGUCACAACCCUUAAGCCCGUUUUAAGAGUGGGAUCGGUGACGUGGCACCGCUGGCGGCAGGGUUUGGUGAUUAAUGGGGUCGGGUUGCUGAAAAUAAUUGUUCUUUGCCUUAUCCCAAUGUACCACUGGUCCGCUGCUGCCGCUCACAGCCACUCAUUCCACCGAGAGGGAGGGUUCUGACCAGGUAAAAUCCGCCGUUCAGGCCGUGGCCGGCGGCAAGACCGGAGCUGUAUAGCGCCGUCCAUCUCCGACGCUCUUCUCCGCCCGGAGCUGCCACGGUAGCCACACCCGUCUCCGGCGCUCUGCUCGCUCGCGUCAGGCGCGCUGCGCCACGCCCGGACGUGGCCUUGGCUGCUGGCGGCAAGACGGUGGCCGUCGCAGCUAGUGCUGCCCACCUCCAGCGCACCCAACGGCAGGCCAAGGUUCUGGCUGAACUUUGAUUCUAACUGACUCGUAUCCGAGGACUUGACCCGUUGUGAAUUGUGAUGGCGACAAGUGAUGGAGCGAUGAGACGAAGAUAAGUUCUUUGCUUUGUUUUGACCUGGACACGAAGAUAAGGCUUUUUGCUUUGUUUUGACCUGGACACGAAGAUAAGUUUUUGCUUUGUUUGACCUGGACACGAAGAUAAGUUUGAUCUCUACAACCCAAGUGUAUGCGUCUUUUUCUUUGAAAUGUCUCGAGGAGCGGAACAGAAUGCAACUGUGGAUUGCGUGACGCAGCAGGACGGGAGAGGCAGACCAGAAGUCUCCUUUUCUCUUCCCGGGGUUUCAGAAGACUAUUCCGAGUUUUGUUCAGAGAAGACAAGCGCAUCUUUGAACAAUCCUGUUGGGAUAAGCAGCAGCUCGGGCUAGUACGUCUCAUCUGUGCAGAGAAGCAUCUUCCAAGAUGUCGCCGUUCAGUCGUUCAAAGUACAGGUUAGGGCGGCCGUGAGAAUUGUGGUUGGAUUGGAUUGGUUAUCUUCUACUCUACUCUACUAUUUCCGUGACAAAGAAUGUGAAUGUGAGACGUUGCUGGCUGGCUGCUGUAGCCUAUACUGCUGCUGCUGUUAAGCGGCUGUGUUUUUUUUUUCUGAACCGAAAA